This 429-nucleotide ribosomal RNA is filed under the name Chloroflexota bacterium. Its description in RNAcentral is "Chloroflexi bacterium partial 16S ribosomal RNA". It matches the Rfam family "Bacterial small subunit ribosomal RNA", at positions 355 to 776 of the family's 1533-position model. The record is from RNAcentral. Lineage: Bacteria; Bacillati; Chloroflexota.
UGGGGAAUAUUGCACAAUGGGCGCAAGCCUGAUGCAGCCAUGCCGCGUGUAUGAAGAAGGCCUUCGGGUUGUAAAGUACUUUCAGUCGGGAGGAAGGUGUCAAGGUUAAUAACCUUGGCAAUUGACGUUACCGACAGAAGAAGCACCGGCUAACUCCGUGCCAGCAGCCGCGGUAAUACGGAGGGUGCAAGCGUUAAUCGGAAUUACUGGGCGUAAAGCGCACGCAGGCGGUUGAUUGAGUCAGAUGUGAAAUCCCCGGGCUUAACCCGGGAAUUGCAUCUGAUACUGGUCAGCUAGAGUCUUGUAGAGGGGAGUAGAAUUCCAUGUGUAGCGGUGAAAUGCGUAGAGAUGUGGAGGAAUACCGGUGGCGAAGGCGGCCCCCUGGACAAAGACUGACGCUCAGGUGCGAAAGCGUGGGGAGCAAACAGG